GAAGUAAAAGUUCAAGAAAAAGCUGCUAACUUUUAUCUUUUAAUGGUUAAAUUCCAUUUAUACUUCU
Molecule: transfer RNA, 67 nt
Filed under: Phaonia fuscata
Lineage: Eukaryota; Metazoa; Arthropoda; Insecta; Diptera; Muscidae
Description: tRNA-Ser
Source: RNAcentral